GAUGGCAGGUAGGGUAGGGACAAAUAUCAUGACGUGUCACAUACCACCAAUUAUGACUCAGGUGGACGGGCCACCUUUACUUAACCCAGAAAGGGGACACACAUAAAUUAGGUAUGUUCGUUAAAUAGACAAAUGCCUCGUCAUCUAAUUAGUGACAUGUAUGAAUGCAUGAACGAGAUUCCCACUGUCCCUACCUACUAUCCAGCAAAACCACAGCCAAGGGGACAGGCUUGGCGGAAUCAGCGGGGAAAGACCCUGUUGAGCUUGACUCUAGUC
Molecule: non-coding RNA, 276 nt
Filed under: Acanthisitta chloris (rifleman)
Lineage: Eukaryota; Metazoa; Chordata; Aves; Passeriformes; Acanthisittidae
Description: Eukaryotic large subunit ribosomal RNA
Rfam family: Eukaryotic large subunit ribosomal RNA
Source: Rfam by way of RNAcentral